Molecule: long non-coding RNA, 564 nt
Filed under: Callithrix jacchus (white-tufted-ear marmoset)
Lineage: Eukaryota; Metazoa; Chordata; Mammalia; Primates; Cebidae
Description: lncRNA (ENSCJAG00000081771.1)
Source: RNAcentral
AUGCCUGUACACUGUAACUUUUGGGAAGAGAAGUUUAGACACAGACCUGAACAAAAGGAAGAUGAUGUGAAGACAGAGGGAGAAGAUGGCCAUCUAGAGGCCAAGGUAGUCUUGAGAUUCAUUUCAUACAGCUUCUCAGAGACUGAUUCCGAAAGAUGCAGCAAUUCAUCAUGUUUUACUGUGGCCAGCUUGACAAUGCAUCACCAUUUUCUUCCCUGCCUCACUCCCCAACCCCUCAUUCUUGCUUCUGUACACUCCCUAAAAAGUAGAUGCAAGUAGACCUUCUUAAGGCUCAGCUUUUUCCCCUUCCUCUUUUUUCAAGCUAAGACAAGGAGUUUGCCUGUCCUUACAGCCUCCAGUUGGAAAUGAACCUAGUACUCCUUAGCUCUUCGAGUGCCAGAAUUAUAUGUAGAGAAGAAUUUUUACAUUGUUACCCAUGCCCUAACACCUGAUCCUUGGUAGGAGAUUGAGGGUUCAGUCUUUAAAGGUGAGGUUCCCCCCAAAAUCAUUACAUAUGAAACUUCCUUACCAUUUCCAGUAUCACAUUCCACUUAUGUAUGUUUC